Molecule: transfer RNA, 73 nt
Filed under: Gemmataceae bacterium
Lineage: Bacteria; Pseudomonadati; Planctomycetota; Planctomycetia; Gemmatales; Gemmataceae
Also listed under: 1 other name
Description: tRNA-Val
Rfam family: tRNA
About the family: Transfer RNA (tRNA) molecules are approximately 80 nucleotides in length. Their secondary structure includes four short double-helical elements and three loops (D, anti-codon, and T loops).
Source: RNAcentral
GGCCUCGUGGUCCAACGGCUUACGACGCGUGGGUGACAACCACGAAACGGGGGUUCGACUCCCUCCGGGGCCA